Molecule: long non-coding RNA, 230 nt
Filed under: Sorghum bicolor (sorghum)
Lineage: Eukaryota; Viridiplantae; Streptophyta; Magnoliopsida; Poales; Poaceae
Description: long non-coding RNA (SBIC_LNC002809)
Source: RNAcentral
GAAGACUUCAGAAGCCACGGGAACGAACAGGAAGCCGAGAGGGCUCAGGGACAGGGCGCCCGCCCUACUCUCCUUGGCGCCUGCCCACUUCCAGAGUCCAAUCAGGACACGUUUCGCGGAUCACGCUCCACCGACCUAAAGGAUCAAGGAAAACAGUGCGAUUAAUGUCAGUUUGAUCCAACGGCCCAGAUUCAUCUAAAAAGACUAUAUAAUCAAGGCCCCCUAGCCCC